RNAcentral lists this ribosomal RNA (253 nucleotides) under uncultured bacterium. Its description in RNAcentral is "partial 16S ribosomal RNA". It matches the Rfam family "Bacterial small subunit ribosomal RNA", at positions 524 to 776 of the family's 1533-position model. The record is from RNAcentral.
UACGUAGGGUGCAAGCGUUGUCCGGAUUCAUUGGGCGUAAAGAGCUCGUAGGCGGCCACUCAAGUCGAAUGUGAAACCUCGAGGCUCAACCUCGAGCCUGCAUUCGAUACUGGGCGGCUAGAGUCUGGUAGGGGGAUCUGGAAUUCCUGGUGUAGCGGUGGAAUGCGCAGAUAUCAGGAGGAACACCGGUGGCGAAGGCGGCUUCCUGGACAGAAACUGACGCUGAGGCGCGAAAGCUAGGGGAGCAAACAGG